Molecule: ribosomal RNA, 502 nt
Filed under: uncultured microorganism
Description: bacterial SSU rRNA
Rfam family: Bacterial small subunit ribosomal RNA
Source: RNAcentral
GAGUUUGAUCAUGGCUCAGGAUGAACGCCGGCGGUGUGCCUAAUACAUGCAAGUCGUACGCACUGGCCCAACUGAUUGAUGGUGCUUGCACCUGAUCGACGAUGGAUCACCAGUGAGUGGCGGACGGGUGAGUAACACGUAGGUAACCUGCCCUGUACAGGGGGAUAACAAUCAGAAAUGACUGCUAAUACCGCAUAAGACCACAGCACCGCAUGGUGCAGGGGUAAAAACUCCGGUGGUACAGGAUGGACCCGCGUCUGAUUAGCUGGUUGGUGAGGUAACGGCUCACCAAGGCGACGAUCAGUAGCCGGCUUGAGAGAGUGAACGGCCACAUUGGGACUGAGACACGGCCCAAACUCCUACGGGAGGCAGCAGUGGGGAAUAUUGCACAAUGGGGGAAACCCUGAUGCAGCAACGCCGCGUGAGUGAAGAAGUAUUUCGGUAUGUAAAGCUCUAUCAGCAGGGAAGAAAGUGACGGUACCUGACUAAGAAGCCCGGCUAA